RNAcentral lists this ribosomal RNA (524 nucleotides) under uncultured Enterococcaceae bacterium. RNAcentral's name for it is "bacterial SSU rRNA". It matches the Rfam family "Bacterial small subunit ribosomal RNA", at positions 28 to 523 of the family's 1533-position model. The record is from RNAcentral. Lineage: Bacteria; Bacillati; Bacillota; Bacilli; Lactobacillales; Enterococcaceae.
GACGAACGCUGGCGGCGUGCCUAAUACAUGCGAGUCGAACGCUUCUUUCCUCCCGAGUGCUUGCGCUCAAUUGGAAAGAGGAGUGGCGGACGGGUGAGUAACACGUGGGUAACCUACCCAUCAGAGGGGGAUAACACUUGGAAACAGGUGCUAAUACCGCAUAACAGUUUAUGCCGCAUGGCAUAAGAGUGAAAGGCGCUUUCGGGUGUCGCUGAUGGAUGGACCCGCGGUGCAUUAGCUAGUUGGUGAGGUAACGGCUCACCAAGGCCACGAUGCAUAGCCGACCUGAGAGGGUGAUCGGCCACACUGGGACUGAGACACGGCCCAGACUCCUACGGGAGGCAGCAGUAGGGAAUCUUCGGCAAUGGACGAAAGUCUGACCGAGCAACGCCGCGUGAGUGAAGAAGGUUUUCGGAUCGUAAAACUCUGUUGUUAGAGAAGAACAAGGACGUUAGCAACUGAACGUCCCCUGACGGUAUCUAACCAGAAAGCCACGGCUAACUACGUGCCAGCCGCCGCGGUAA